RNAcentral lists this ribosomal RNA (467 nucleotides) under uncultured bacterium. Its description in RNAcentral is "partial 16S ribosomal RNA". It matches the Rfam family "Bacterial small subunit ribosomal RNA", at positions 28 to 506 of the family's 1533-position model. The record is from RNAcentral.
GACGAACGCUGGCGGCGUGCUUAACACAUGCAAGUCGAACGGAAAGGCCCUGCUUUUGUGGGGUGCUCGAGUGGCGAACGGGUGAGUAACACGUGAGUAACCUGCCCUUGACUUUGGGAUAACUUCAGGAAACUGGGGCUAAUACCGGAUAGGAGCUCCUGCUGCAUGGUGGGGGUUGGAAAGUUUCGGCGGUUGGGGAUGGACUCGCGGCUUAUCAGCUUGUUGGUGGGGUAGUGGCUUACCAAGGCUUUGACGGUUAGCCGGCCUGAGAGGGUGACCGGCCACAUUGGGUCUGAGUUACGGCCCAGACUCCUACGGGCGGGAGGAGUGGGGAAUAUUGCACAAUGGGCGGAAGCCUGAUGCAGCAACGCCGCGUGCGGGAUGACGGCAUUCGGGUUGUAAACCGCUUUCGCCUGUGACGAAGCGUGAGUGACGGUAAUGGGUAAAGAAGCACCGGCUAACUACGU